This 458-nucleotide ribosomal RNA is filed under the name uncultured bacterium. Its description in RNAcentral is "SSU rRNA". It matches the Rfam family "Bacterial small subunit ribosomal RNA", at positions 26 to 518 of the family's 1533-position model. The record is from RNAcentral.
AGAAUCAACGCUGGCGGCGUGCCUAACACAUGCAAGUCGAACGAGAAAGGGGAGCAAUCCCUGAGUACAGUGGCGCACGGGUGAGUAACACGUGACUAACCUACCCUGGAGUGGGGAAUAACUGAGGGAAACCUUAGCUAAUACCGCAUAAUACCUACGGGUCAAAGGAGCAAUUCGCUUCAGGAGGGGGUCGCGGCCGAUUAGCUAGUUGGCGGGGUAAUGGCCCACCAAGGCAAUGAUCGGUAUCCGGCCUGAGAGGGCGCACGGACACACUGGAACUGAAACACGGUCCAGACUCCUACGGGAGGCAGCAGUGGGAAUUUUGCGCAAUGGGGGAAACCCUGACGCAGCAACGCCGCGUGGAGGAUGAAAUCCCUUGGGAUGUAAACUCCUUUCGAUCGGGACGAUUAUGACGUUACCGGAAGAAGAGCCCCGGCUAACUUCGCGCCAGCAGCCGC